RNAcentral lists this ribosomal RNA (426 nucleotides) under Fallicambarus dissitus. RNAcentral's name for it is "partial 16S ribosomal RNA". The stretch from base 292 to 426 matches the Rfam family "Bacterial large subunit ribosomal RNA", at positions 2473 to 2608 of the family's 2925-position model. Lineage: Eukaryota; Metazoa; Arthropoda; Malacostraca; Decapoda; Cambaridae. The record is from RNAcentral.
AUUAGUUUUUUAAUUGAAGGCUAGAAUGAAUGGUUGGACAAGAAAUAAUCUGUCUUAAUUAAAUAUAUUGAAUUUAACUUUUAAGUGAAAAGGCUUAGAUAAUCUGAAGGGACGAUAAGACCCUAUAAAACUUUAUAUUUAUGAAUGAUAGUUAAUUUUGUUUUGGAAUAUUAUUUUAAAAUAUUUAGUUGGGGUGACAAGGAUAAAAUAUGAAAUAACUGUCUUUUUUUUUUUACAGUGAUAUUUGGUUUAAUGAUCCUAAAGUGGAUUAUAAGAUUAAGUUACUUUAGGGAUAACAGCGUAAUUUUCUUUGAGAGUUCUUAUCGACAAGAAAGUUUGCGACCUCGAUGUUGAAUUAAAGGUUCUUUAUAGAGUAGAGACUAUAAUAGAAGGUCUGUUCGACCUUUAAAAUUUUACAUGAUUUGA